RNAcentral lists this ribosomal RNA (270 nucleotides) under uncultured prokaryote. Its description in RNAcentral is "partial 16S ribosomal RNA". It matches the Rfam family "Bacterial small subunit ribosomal RNA", at positions 524 to 792 of the family's 1533-position model. The record is from RNAcentral.
UACGUAGGGGGCGAGCGUUGUCCGGAAUGAUUGGGCGUAAAGGGCGCGCAGGCGGCCUGUCAAGUCAGUAGUGGAAGUCCAUUUUUUCAAGGAUGGAAGUGCUAUAGAAACUGAUGGGCUUGAGUGCAGGAGAGGUUAUCGGAAUUCCCGGUGUAGCGGUGAAAUGCGUAGAGAUCGGGAGAAACACCAGUGGCGAAGGCGGGUAACUGGACUGCAACUGACGCUGAGGCGCGAAAGUGUGGGGAGCAAACAGGAUUAGAUACCCCUGUA